RNAcentral lists this transfer RNA (69 nucleotides) under Marmota monax (woodchuck). RNAcentral describes it as "tRNA.Ala". The record is from RNAcentral. Lineage: Eukaryota; Metazoa; Chordata; Mammalia; Rodentia; Sciuridae.
GUUUGUGGUUCAGCGGUAGAGCGCUUGCCUAGCAUGUGCAAAGCCCUGAGUUCGAUCCUCAGCACUACG